CUUGCACACACACAGCUGCCUUCUCACGUGCUGCCUCUCGCGGACUCCUCCAGGGUGAGAGCUGGGCCUUUGCAUGGCCUGGAUGGCACUUCCCUAGGAAAGAGUCGCAGCUGUUCCAGUCUGAGCUGACUGCAUGCACCUGCAGCUCUGGCUCCUCCCACCACUUAGCACUCAGGUGUGGAGCAGUGCAGCAGCGGCCGCCCUGAAGGGCUGCGUGGCACAAUUGGGAGUAAGGUAUCCUUGCUAGUGCUUUGCCUCAAAGUAAUCAUGACUAAUGAUAAUUCGGUCAAAUAUGAUGACACACAUUGCUAACUUCUGUCACAGAAGAUGGCAUUGACAGUGGUUGAGAAUAGAAUGCUGGUGGGAAUGGUAUCGAUGGCACUUGAGACCUGGAGUUACUGCAGAAAUUUUCCUUUGCAAUUGCAGGUCCUUCCUACAGUUUAUUGACUAUUCAACAAGUUGCUUAAGUGUCUGGUUACAUCUAUUUUCUACACAUAUCUAUCUUGAUGGAACUGUGUUGUGAUAAGUGGUACUUCAAUCCUGGGAGACUGGCUACAUUCCAGAACUAUCGGUGAAUCAGUCUUGCCAUUCAGUGAGAAGAAUGUGACACCUCGCCUUCAAACAUGCUGCAGAUUCAAAAUCACCAACGUUUGGAUAACAGAAUGCCAACUGUAGACCAUUAUUUUGGCAUGUGCAUGGCAUGUGUGUGUGCAUGUAUGAGAGAGAGAGAGAGAGAGAGAGAACUGUAGAGGGCAGAGUCUACAAUAUUUUUUUAAAAGACAGAAAAGAGAUCAUUUAAAAAAUACACUCAAGAUAUCUUGAUGACUAAUGACAUUAUUCUUCAUAAAAUUGCAGAUCCAUAUUUUACUUUCAGGAGCAGAAUGCACUAUUUCCUCUCAGUCAUAGACAAAGGCCCUUUCAGGUAAGGUAGUAUUUUACCUUAAAUCCUGCAACGUCAAGCCAGAGUCAUUGCUCUAAAGGAACUGAACCUUCUGCCACUUCAACAACCCCUAAGUGCUGACUGUUAACUCGUUUUUCUUCUCCUUUGAUGUGGCUGUGACAAGAAACAAAUUUAUAAAAGUAGAGUUAUCUGUGAUGCUGGGCCAUUGGACAGCUGGCCUUGUAAAAAUUAAUACAAUAAGUGAGUGGUGGUAGUCACCACGAUCAGAUCUGUGCCAAAGUUGCAAUUAGGAACACAGAUGUUUUGUUGCUGAUUCAUAAUUUUCCACUUACAAAGGUUGUUUUAAAGAUUAUUUGUUAGAUGUAUUGUGGUUGUCAAUGUUUGCUGUUUGUGAUGAAAAGUAUGGGUACAGUACUUUUAAGAAUAAUUUAAAAAUUUUAAUUUAGGCAACGAAGAAAUGUGUGUGCAUGCAUGCUUGUGUUUGUGUGUGUGUCUGUAAGGCAUAACAUGGUUUCAGUAAGACUUCAAGUGGAGGGAGUCCUUCCUAGGAACAAAUACUCGGCUACUUCAAUAUUUAUUUCUGUUUGGUUUUGAAAUGUUUGGUGUUCUUUUUCCAAGAUAUUUCUAAUGCUAUUUUUAUGAAAGAAAGUAAGUUUAUACUUUCUUUGCUUGCUGCUUC
Long non-coding RNA from Manis javanica (Malayan pangolin), 1580 nucleotides. RefSeq lists it as uncharacterized. NCBI's taxonomy places the organism in Eukaryota, Metazoa, Chordata, Mammalia, Pholidota, Manidae. The record is from RefSeq and is a predicted model, not a curated record.